Molecule: long non-coding RNA, 1514 nt
Filed under: Sus scrofa (pig)
Lineage: Eukaryota; Metazoa; Chordata; Mammalia; Artiodactyla; Suidae
Description: lncRNA (ENSSSCG00015001440.1)
Source: RNAcentral
GAAAGAUACAAUCUCUGUUUCUCAUCUCCUCAUUCUGUAGUCUCUAAUCUGCACGUCAUUGGCCCUAUGUGUACCCAAGUGGCUGGUCUUUUAGAAAAAGAACGGAGUACAGAAUAUAAGGAACCUAGGCAAACUGCUAAUCCAGAGACCACUCUCUGCCCCCAGGAGAUCAGAUAGGCCCACACUUCACGAUCCUGGAAAGGAUCGUGGUACAAUGUCUCUGGUACAAUCUUAGCUUAGGAACCUUUAAAAAGUCCUCAGAACAGAUAUAGCUACUGUCUAUAGCAGAACAGAGAUGCUCCAAGAACAUUUUUUGCGUCUCCAACACUAAGAGCACAGGACAUCCAAAUAUCCAAAAUGACUCUGUGGGAAAAAAAAUCCUGAAAUGGGGGUUAUGGACUCUGGGGAGACCACUAAGGAUGCACCAGUAAAGAAUACAGGUCGUGAACCCCCACCCAGUAGACCUGUUUAUAGAGUCCCCCACCAGGGCACACACCUAGGACACACUGGGCUAGAUUGCACCACGGACAGAACAUGAACUUUCCUAGAUGCCGUUACCAUAGGGGAUGUCCCCGUCAAUUUACUCAAGUCCCACACUGAGACCACUCCUCCUUAGCACAAGGGCAUUUAGCAUUCCCCAUGUGCUCAGCUUUAUUAAGAGUGCUGGCUGGAAUUCCCGUAGUGGCUUAGCAGAAACAACCUGAGUAGUAUCAAUGAGGAUGCAGUUUGAUCCCUGGCCUCGAUCAAAGGGUUAAGGAUCUGGCGUUGCCCAGCUCAGGGGGUUAAGGAUCCAUUGUUGCCAUGAGCUGUGGUGUAGGUCACAGACGCGGCUCAGAUCCCAUGUUGCUGUGGCUGUGGGGUAGGCCAGCAUCUACAGCUCUGAUAUGACCCCUAGCCUGGGAACUUCCACAUGCCAUAGGUGCGGCCCUAAAUUUAAAAAAAAAAAAAAAAAAAAAAAAGGAGUGCUGGCUUAUAUCUCCAUUUAUCCUCUAUGGUCUCCCAAUAAAGUAAGAGUUUGGAUAGGAGCACCGUGCCCUCCCAAAAGGACAGCCCCUUCUACUUUCUCUCCUCCUAACCUGAACUUAUUGGACACCCUACAGAAUCAGCUCACCUGUGCCCAUCAUGAACCUCGCUGGAAACAUUUCUGCCAAGCUCAUCUCCUGAUUGAAAAAUCCCUCUACUAUGCUCAAGAAUAUCAGAGAGAGAAUCAGUUCACACUUGAUGCUUAUUGAUCAGCUUCUCCCUAUUACUAUUAAAAUUAUGCCGGAAUGACAUAAUAAUAAUUCGAAAAAGGAAAAUGUUUAAGGUAAAUGAAUAUCUAAUUAUUAAAUAUUCAUAUUGUGUUCAUUUUAUUUUGAUCGUUAAUCUUUACUGUCUGUGUGCAAGAAAAAUUAGGGCAAAGAUCAUUCGAAGAAAGACAAUUAUUUUAGAAAUUAUCCUAACGUCAAAUGAAGAUGGUCUGAAAGAAGGAAGUGACAGAAAAUAAAAAGGAAGGUGUUUUUUUUUAGAAAACA